AUAAUUCUUACCAGAGAGGACCCAUGGAUACCUAGGGCCUGGUCCCGACAGGUGAUUACUCCAAAGGGAGCCAAUCUGUUGAGCUAUGUGAAUGAACUGAUAGACCCGACCACGGGUGGUUGGGAUGAACGCCUUGUCAUGGAUACAUUCUGUUCGGAGGACGCACACCACAUUCUGCAGAUUCCAUUAAGGGAAGGCACCGAGGACUUUGUUGCAUGGCAUUUUGAUUCUAAGGGCAGACACUCGGUCAGAAGUGCAUAUAAACUGCAGAUGGAGCUGCAUAAACAGCGAACGACGGGUGGACCGAGCACGAGUGAAGGAGGCUCCGGCCAGUUGGACAGAAGCCCGGACUCGAGCUGGAAGCGGAUAUGGAAACUUCUUUGCCCAGCAAAACUAGAGAUGUUUGUCUGGCGUAUCCGCCAUGAGUCCCUCCCCCUAUGUACUAAUCUGGCCAGGCGUGGUAUGAAGCUUGAC
This 474-nucleotide ribosomal RNA is filed under the name Triticum aestivum (bread wheat). Its description in RNAcentral is "partial small subunit ribosomal RNA". The record is from RNAcentral. Lineage: Eukaryota; Viridiplantae; Streptophyta; Magnoliopsida; Poales; Poaceae.